GAAAUGCGAUAACUAGUGUGAAUUGCAGAAUUCCGUGAAUCAUCGAGUCUUUGAACGCACAUUGCGCCCCCUGGUAUUCCGGGGGGCAUGCCUGUCCGAGCGUCAUUGCUGCCCAUCAAGCACGGCUUGUGUGUUGGGUCGUCGUCCCCUCUCCGGGGGGGACGGGCCCCAAAGGCAGCGGCGGCACCGCGUCCGAUCCUCGAGCGUAUGGGGCUUUGUCACCCGCUCUGUAGGCCCGUCCGGCGCUUGCCGAACGCAAAUCAAUCUUUUUCCAGGUUGACCUCGGAUCAGGUAGGGAUACCCGCUGAACUUAAGC
Molecule: unclassified non-coding RNA, 316 nt
Filed under: plant metagenome
Description: partial contains 5.8S ribosomal RNA, internal transcribed spacer 2, and large subunit ribosomal RNA
Rfam family: 5.8S ribosomal RNA (bases 1-105)
Source: RNAcentral